RNAcentral lists this ribosomal RNA (462 nucleotides) under uncultured bacterium. Its description in RNAcentral is "bacterial LSU rRNA". It matches the Rfam family "Bacterial large subunit ribosomal RNA", at positions 1075 to 1544 of the family's 2925-position model. The record is from RNAcentral.
GUGGGAAGGCAUAGACAGUCAGGAUGUUGGCUUAGAAGCAGCCAUCAUUUAAAGAAAGCGUAAUAGCUCACUGAUCGAGUCGUCCUGCGCGGAAGAUGUAACGGGGCUCAAGCCAUACACCGAAGCUGCGGAUCGUAGUAAUACGAUGGUAGAGGAGCGUUCUGUAAGCCUGUGAAGGUGUCUCGUAAGGGAUGCUGGAGGUAUCAGAAGUGCGAAUGCUGACAUGAGUAGCGUUAAAGGGGGUGAAAAGCCCCCUCGCCGUAAGCGCAAGGUUUCCUACGCAACGUUCAUCGGCGUAGGGUGAGUCGGCCCCUAAGGUGAGGCAGAGAUGCGUAGCUGAUGGGAAACAGGUCAAUAUUCCUGUACCGAUGUGUAGUGCGAUGUGGGGACGGAGAAGGUUAGCUCAGCCAACUGUUGGACAUGUUGGUUCAAGCCUGUAGUCGUGCCUGGUAGGCAAAUCCG